This 750-nucleotide ribosomal RNA is filed under the name Bacillus pumilus. RNAcentral describes it as "bacterial SSU rRNA". It matches the Rfam family "Bacterial small subunit ribosomal RNA", at positions 49 to 784 of the family's 1533-position model. The record is from RNAcentral. Lineage: Bacteria; Bacillati; Bacillota; Bacilli; Caryophanales; Bacillaceae.
UGCUAUCUGCAGUCGAGCGGAAGAAGGGAGCUUGCUCCCGGAUGUUAGCGGCGGACGGGUGAGUAACACGUGGGUAACCUGCCUGUAAGACUGGGAUAACUCCGGGAAACCGGAGCUAAUACCGGAUAGUUCCUUGAACCGCAUGGUUCAAGGAUGAAAGACGGUUUCGGCUGUCACUUACAGAUGGACCCGCGGCGCAUUAGCUAGUUGGUGGGGUAAUGGCUCACCAAGGCGACGAUGCGUAGCCGACCUGAGAGGGUGAUCGGCCACACUGGGACUGAGACACGGCCCAGACUCCUACGGGAGGCAGCAGUAGGGAAUCUUCCGCAAUGGACGAAAGUCUGACGGAGCAACGCCGCGUGAGUGAUGAAGGUUUUCGGAUCGUAAAGCUCUGUUGUUAGGGAAGAACAAGUGCGAGAGUAACUGCUCGCACCUUGACGGUACCUAACCAGAAAGCCACGGCUAACUACGUGCCAGCAGCCGCGGUAAUACGUAGGUGGCAAGCGUUGUCCGGAAUUAUUGGGCGUAAAGGGCUCGCAGGCGGUUUCUUAAGUCUGAUGUGAAAGCCCCCGGCUCAACCGGGGAGGGUCAUUGGAAACUGGGAAACUUGAGUGCAGAAGAGGAGAGUGGAAUUCCACGUGUAGCGGUGAAAUGCGUAGAGAUGUGGAGGAACACCAGUGGCGAAGGCGACUCUCUGGUCUGUAACUGACGCUGAGGAGCGAAAGCGUGGGGAGCGAACAGGAUUAGAUA